GUAGUCCACGCCGUAAACGUUGGGCGCUAGGUGUGGGGAACCUUCCACGUUCUCCGUGCCGCAGCUAACGCAUUAAGCGCCCCGCCUGGGGAGUACGGCCGCAAGGCUAAAACUCAAAGGAAUUGACGGGGGCCCGCACAAGCGGCGGAGCAUGUGGCUUAAUUCGACGCAACGCGAAGAACCUUACCAAGGCUUGACAUAUACCGAAAACUGGCAGAGAUGUCAGGUCCGCAAGGGCGGUAUACAGGUGGUGCAUGGUUGUCGUCAGCUCGUGUCGUGAGAUGUUGGGUUAAGUCCGCAACGAGCGCAACCCUCGUUCUAUGUUGCCAGCGCGUUAUGGCGGGGACUCA
This 350-nucleotide ribosomal RNA is filed under the name uncultured Sporichthya sp. Its description in RNAcentral is "bacterial SSU rRNA". It matches the Rfam family "Bacterial small subunit ribosomal RNA", at positions 790 to 1141 of the family's 1533-position model. The record is from RNAcentral. Lineage: Bacteria; Bacillati; Actinomycetota; Actinomycetes; Sporichthyales; Sporichthyaceae.